This 330-nucleotide long non-coding RNA is filed under the name Sus scrofa (pig). Its description in RNAcentral is "lncRNA (ENSSSCG00050047856.1)". Lineage: Eukaryota; Metazoa; Chordata; Mammalia; Artiodactyla; Suidae. The record is from RNAcentral.
AUGAUCAUAAAUAAUGUACGAAUGUUCUUCACAUUCAAAGGACAUCCGCAUCUGUUGGAAGACUUAAAACAUCAGCCACACCUUAGACUCCAUGACCACGACGUGUGUGUACAAUGGUUGCAACGGAUCCCUCCAGAAGGCUCCAUCCCCCAUCACUACUGGUUGAAGGCGUCUUCACAUCUUGACACACUAUUGCAACACCACAUUUCUCGUUAUCAUCUGCUUACUGAAAUGACAGGCGUCCACGCUGUGGUGAGGAACACUGACUCUGAAGGCAGAUGGACAGGGCUUGGAUCCAAGCUCAGCUCCUCACCAGAAGGGGACCUUUAG